AGUGAACGCUGGCGGUGUGCCUAACACAUGCAAGUCGAACGGCAGCACAGUAAGAGCUUGCCCUUACGGGUGGCGAGUGGCGGACGGGUGAGGCAUACAUCGGAAUCUACUUUUACUUGGGUGACAACGUAGGGAAACAUACGCUAAUACCGCAUAUGACCAACGGGUUAAAGCAGUGGAUCUUCACACCUUUCGUGUCUCAAUUAGCUGGUUCCGGAUUAGCUAGUUGGCAGGGUAAAGGCCCACCAAGGCAACGAUCCGUAGCUGGUCUGAGAGGAUGAUCAGCCACACUGGAACUGAGACACGGUCCAGACUCCUACGGGAGGCAGCAGUAGGGAAUAUUGGGCAAUGGGCGAAAGCCUGAUGCAGCCAUGCCGCGUGAGUGAAGAAGGCCUUCGGGUUGUAAAGCCCUUUUGUUGGGAAAGAAAAACAGCAGGUUAAUCCCCCGCUGUUCUGACGGUACCCAAAGAGUAAGCACCGGCUAACUUCGUG
RNAcentral lists this ribosomal RNA (492 nucleotides) under uncultured bacterium. RNAcentral describes it as "partial 16S ribosomal RNA". It matches the Rfam family "Bacterial small subunit ribosomal RNA", at positions 29 to 507 of the family's 1533-position model. The record is from RNAcentral.